This 932-nucleotide ribosomal RNA is filed under the name uncultured bacterium. RNAcentral describes it as "bacterial SSU rRNA". It matches the Rfam family "Bacterial small subunit ribosomal RNA", at positions 8 to 916 of the family's 1533-position model. The record is from RNAcentral.
AGAGUUUGAUCAUGGCUCAGAAUCAACGCUGGCGGCGUGCCUAACACAUGCAAGUCGAACGCGAAAACCCUUUCGGGGGCAAGUAGAGUGGCGUCCGGGUGAGUAACACGUAGGUAAUCUACCUUUCGGGUGGGGAAUAACUCGCCGAAAGGCGAGCUAAUACCGCAUAAUGCAGCGGCACCUAAUGGUGAUUAGUUGUUAAAGCGGGGGAUCGCAAGACCUCGCGCCUGAAGAGGAGCCUGCGGCAGAUUAGCUAGUUGGUGAGGUAAUGGCUCACCAAGGCUUCGAUCUGUAGCUGGUCUGAGAGGACGGCCAGCCACACUGGCACUGACACACGGGCCAGACUCCUACGGGAGGCAGCAGUGGGGAAUUUUGGGCAAUGGGCGCAAGCCUGACCCAGCAACGCCGCGUGAGGGAGGAAAUCCUUCGGGAUGUAAACCUCACAAGCAAGGGAAGAGAGUUCAGGUCCAAAUAAGGCCUGAGUCCGACGGUACCUUGCGUAAGCCACGGCUAACUACGUGCCAGCAGCCGCGGUAAUACGUAGGUGGCAAGCGUUGUUCGGAAUUAUUGGGCGUAAAGGGCGCGUAGGCGGCUUGCUAAGUCGGUUGUGAAAGCCCGGGGCUCAACCCCGGAGAGUCGACCGAUACUGGCGAGCUAGAGUACGGAAGAGGUAGCUGGAAUUCCCGGUGUAGCGGUGAAAUGCGUAGAUAUCGGGAGGAACACCUGAGGCGAAGGCGGGCUACUGGGCCGAUACUGACGCUGAGGCGCGAAAGCCAGGGGAGCAAACGGGAUUAGAUACCCCGGUAGUCCUGGCCCUAAACGAUGGACACUUGGUGUGUCGGGUAUUCCAGUCCCGGCGUGCCGGAGUUAACGCGUUAAGUGUCCCGCCUGGGGAGUACGGUCGCAAGGCUGAAACUCAAAUGAAUUGACGG